RNAcentral lists this transfer RNA (73 nucleotides) under Camelus bactrianus (Bactrian camel). It matches the Rfam family "tRNA". Rfam says of the family: Transfer RNA (tRNA) molecules are approximately 80 nucleotides in length. Their secondary structure includes four short double-helical elements and three loops (D, anti-codon, and T loops). RNAcentral also lists the same sequence under 1 other name. The record is from Rfam by way of RNAcentral. Lineage: Eukaryota; Metazoa; Chordata; Mammalia; Artiodactyla; Camelidae.
GAGGGUAUAGCUCAAAUGGUAGAGUGCAUGCUUGGUAUGCAUGAGGACCUGGGUUCAAUCCCCAGUGCCUCCU